GGGUUAGUGGCGGAAGGGUGAGUAAUACUAUCGAAUGUACCCCGAGGUGGAGGAUAGGCAUGGGAAACUGUGCGUAAUACUUCAUGAUCUCGAGAGAGCAAAGCCGCAAGGCGCCUUGGGAGCAGCGAUAUUCCUAUCAGGUAGUUGGCGGGGUAAUGGCCCACCAAGCCGAAGACGGGUAGCCGGUAUGAGAGUACGGCCGGCCACAUCGGGACUGAGACACUGCCCGGACUCCUACGGGAGGCUGCAGUAACGAAUAUUCCGCAAUGGGCGAAAGCCUGACGGAGCAAUGCCGCGUGUGGGAUGAAGCGGUUUCGCCGUGUAAACCACUGUCAGGGAAUAGAAAAGAUGAUCAUUCCCAGAGGAAGGGGCGACUAACUCUGUGCCAGCAGUCGCGGUAAGACAGAGGCCCCGAGCGUUAGUCGGAAUCACUGGGCUUAAAGGGUGCGUAGGCGGACGCGUAAGUGCUUUGUGAAAGCCCUGGGCUCAACCCAGGAAUUGCAGGGCAUACUGCGCGUCUUAAGGAAGCUAGAGGCGGGUGGAACGAUCGGUGGAGCGGUGGAAUGCGUAGAGAUCGAUCGGAACGCCAAGGGUGAAGACAACCCGCUGGGGCUUUCCUGACGCUGAGGCACGAAAGCGUGGGGA
This 645-nucleotide ribosomal RNA is filed under the name uncultured soil bacterium. Its description in RNAcentral is "bacterial SSU rRNA". It matches the Rfam family "Bacterial small subunit ribosomal RNA", at positions 89 to 767 of the family's 1533-position model. The record is from RNAcentral.